UAAGAAAGCCGCAAGCGAGAAUCUUACCCGGAUCAAAACAAACCUGCCUAAAAGAUAUAAAAAACUUACUCGACCAGUAAAUGCCCGAAUAGAAAGUCAAGCAUCAUCUCCGACGCGGGCCAGAGGCGUCAGGGUUUAGCUCAUUUUUCAAUCAAGUGGGCUCGUCUGGGGGUAACCGAUUCAGAGAUGGGAGAAAGUCCUUCAAGGAAAGCAAUAAGAAGAAGCCUUGACGUUCUGUUCCACUAAAGCAGCUCUAACUCAAAGUCAAGAGGCUCUACUAGCUCUUUGGAUCGCAAGCUACCCUCGACUCUCUCUUCCAGAACUAAGACAAGAAAGCUAAUCCGCCGGAUCUCGANNNN
This 359-nucleotide long non-coding RNA is filed under the name Panax ginseng (ginseng). RNAcentral describes it as "long non-coding RNA (PGIN_LNC017652)". The record is from RNAcentral. Lineage: Eukaryota; Viridiplantae; Streptophyta; Magnoliopsida; Apiales; Araliaceae.